AUACGGAGGAUGCGAGCGUUAUCCGGAUUUAUUGGGUUUAAAGGGUGCGCAGGCGGGCGAUUAAGUCCGCGGUGAAAGGCUCGGGCUCAACCGGAGCAGUGCCGUUGAUACUGGUUGUCUUGAAUGCGGUCAAGGCCGGCGGAAUGUGGCGUGUAGCGGUGAAAUGCAUAGAUAUGCCACAGAACACCGAUAGCGAAGGCAGCUGGCCGGGCCUGCAUUGACGCUGAGGCACGAAAGCGUGGGGAUCGAACAGGAUUAGAUACCCUGGUAGUCCACGCUGUAAACGAUGGACACUCGUUGUCGGCGACAGACAGUCGGCGGCCAAGCGAAAGUGAUAAGUGUCCCACCUGGGGAGUACGGUCGCAAGGCUGAAACUCAAAUGAAUUGACGGGG
This 393-nucleotide ribosomal RNA is filed under the name uncultured bacterium. RNAcentral's name for it is "partial 16S ribosomal RNA". It matches the Rfam family "Bacterial small subunit ribosomal RNA", at positions 523 to 918 of the family's 1533-position model. The record is from RNAcentral.